RNAcentral lists this ribosomal RNA (253 nucleotides) under uncultured bacterium. RNAcentral describes it as "partial 16S ribosomal RNA". It matches the Rfam family "Bacterial small subunit ribosomal RNA", at positions 524 to 776 of the family's 1533-position model. The record is from RNAcentral.
UACAGAGGUCCCGAGCGUUGUUCGGAUUCAUUGGGCGUAAAGGGUGUGUAGGUGGCGCGCUAAGUCGGGUGUGAAAUUUCGGAGCUUAACUCCGAAACUGCAUUCGAUACUGGCGUGCUUGAGGACUGGAGAGGAGACUGGAAUUUACGGUGUAGCAGUGAAAUGCGUAGAUAUCGUAAGGAAGACCAGUGGCGAAGGCGGGUCUCUGGACAGUUCCUGACACUGAGACACGAAGGCCAGGGGAGCAAACGGG